UCUCGAUUGGUCUAGUGGUAAGGAUACCUGCUUGUCAUCGAUCCAAUUGAUCGCAGGUGGCCGGGGUUCGAUUCCCCGAUCGAGAG
Molecule: non-coding RNA, 86 nt
Organism: Xylaria palmicola
Lineage: Eukaryota; Fungi; Ascomycota; Sordariomycetes; Xylariales; Xylariaceae
Source: the annotation of a GenBank genome assembly